RNAcentral lists this ribosomal RNA (253 nucleotides) under uncultured bacterium. Its description in RNAcentral is "partial 16S ribosomal RNA". It matches the Rfam family "Bacterial small subunit ribosomal RNA", at positions 524 to 776 of the family's 1533-position model. The record is from RNAcentral.
UACGUAGGGUGCAAGCGUUGUCCGGAAUUAUUGGGCGUAAAGAGCUUGUAGGCGGUUUGUCGCGUCUGCUGUGAAAUUUCGGGGCUCAACCCCGAACUUGCAGUGGGUACGGGCAGACUAGAGUGUGGUAGGGGAGACUGGAAUUCCUGGUGUAGCGGUGAAAUGCGCAGAUAUCAGGAGGAACACCGAUGGCGAAGGCAGGUCUCUGGGCCACUACUGACGCUGAGAAGCGAAAGCAUGGGGAGCGAAUGGG